Papaver somniferum (opium poppy) is the source of this 768-nucleotide long non-coding RNA. RefSeq lists it as uncharacterized. The record is from RefSeq and is a predicted model, not a curated record. NCBI's taxonomy places the organism in Eukaryota, Viridiplantae, Streptophyta, Magnoliopsida, Ranunculales, Papaveraceae. The transcript is spliced from 3 exons.
CUCAUGCUAGGUGUUAUGGUGGUCUUAAUGUUUGUCUAUGGAACUAAAGGCUAUGGAAACAUAUCAGGGGACUGGGAUUUGUAAAAAUGGAUGAAGCUGGAGGAAUUGGAGUUUAACAGUUAAACUGUUGGAGCUUGCUGUCAAUUUUACAAAAGGAAAACCCUUCCCAUGGCAGGAAAUUUUUUUCAUAUUCAGGCAAGAUGGCAAACAAGUUCCUUUUACGCCCAGUCGAUUAAAGGAAGGUGUGCCUUGAACCACAGAUGAAAGGAAGGUGGUCUGCAACGAUUAAAGAACCUUCCAAAGAUGAAAGUUGUUGAUAAGGCUAUCUCUCAUGGACAUGUAGGAAAACAUAGAAAGCAUCCUGGUGGUCAUGGAAAUGCUGGAGGUAUGCAUCAGCAUAGAAUCCUCUUCGACAAUCAUCCUUAUUUUUCUUGGAUAUAUUAUUUUUUCUAAUUUUAGUGCGAACAAAAAAAGUACUUAUGUCAGUUAUCAUGUGUUGGGUUACUUGAUGCAAGUCGCAUGUACAACCACUAACUUCUAAAACUAGGUUCAGGUACCGCUUUCAUGAAAUUUGUACAACUGCAUGCCACGGUUGGUUCUACUGACUUAUCUCAGGUCCAUUUUUAUUUACUUUCUAUAGAGAAUUUGAGCAGCAGAUGGAGCUCAGAGAGACAGGGUUGCUGUUGGUGUACUAAACAGUGUUUAGUUUUGCUUUUGCUGGAAUAAUAGGUUCCCUCUUUUUAACAACAAAAUCUUCCUGACUUCACA